GACGAACGCUGGCGGCGUGCCUAAUACAUGCAAGUCGAACGCAGUGGGGACGGGUGAGUAACACGUGGGUAACCUCCCAUCAGAGGGGAUAACACUUGGAAACAGGUGCUAAACCGAUACUGAUGGAUGGACCCGCGGUUCAUUAGCUAGUUGGUUAGGUAACGGCUCACCUAGGCGACGAUCCCUAGCUUAGCGGAGAGGAUGAUCGGCCACACUGGAACUGGGACCAGGUCCAUACUCCUACGGGAUGCAGCAGUGGGGAAUGUGGCACAAUGGGCGCAAGCCUGAUGCAGCCAUGCCGCGUGUGUGAAGAAGGCCUUCGGGUUGUAAAGCACUUUCAGCGAGGAGGCGUUACUCGCAGAAGAAGCACCGGCUAACUCCGUGCCAGCAGCCGCGGUAAUUC
RNAcentral lists this ribosomal RNA (403 nucleotides) under uncultured bacterium. RNAcentral's name for it is "partial 16S ribosomal RNA". It matches the Rfam family "Bacterial small subunit ribosomal RNA", at positions 28 to 526 of the family's 1533-position model. The record is from RNAcentral.